RNAcentral lists this small nuclear RNA (141 nucleotides) under Oryzias melastigma (Indian medaka). RNAcentral's name for it is "U4 spliceosomal RNA (ENSOMEG00000008638.1)". It matches the Rfam family "U4 spliceosomal RNA". Rfam says of the family: U4 small nuclear RNA (U4 snRNA) is a component of the major U2-dependent spliceosome. The structure of U4 snRNA from yeast and human has been reported. U4 snRNA presents a k-turn RNA motif in the 5p-SL related to recognition of Snu13 protein. Lineage: Eukaryota; Metazoa; Chordata; Actinopteri; Beloniformes; Adrianichthyidae. The record is from RNAcentral.
AUCUUUGCGCAGUGGCAGUAUCAUAACCUAUGAGGUUUAUCCGAGGAGCGAUUAAUGCUAAUUGAAAACUUAACCCAAUACCCCACCUUGAUGGCUUGAAAUAUAGUCAGCAAUGGCAAUUUAUGUCAGUCUCAAUGGAGA